This 2941-nucleotide long non-coding RNA is filed under the name Equus caballus (horse). RNAcentral's name for it is "lncRNA (ENSECAG00000046019.1)". Lineage: Eukaryota; Metazoa; Chordata; Mammalia; Perissodactyla; Equidae. The record is from RNAcentral.
CCCUAAUAGGCCAAGGGAAGAACCUCAAGGGCAUCCACCGGGGUCUGUGUCAGCAUGUCUGGACCAGGUCAGACCAUUGGCCCCCACCAAUGUCUCAGUCUCCGGAGAGGUCCCUCCUCUUACCAAGAUGCCCCCAGAGCCCACCAGGACAUUCCAGCAUUUCUGAACAUGGAUGUCUAAGCUGGGCAAGGCGUCAAACAGAGCUAAUAGGAACAGAAUUGGCAAAGAGAAGAAAUCAGAAGUUCCACUACAACAAGAAUUAUUAAGAGUGACUUCUGUAAGAGAUCAAGAACCAGCUAUGUAUAAGCCUACAACAGAUCAAUCAAAGAAGAAAUGGAAAUCAAAUAAUUGGCUUAUAAAGAAUGUCUGAGAGCAUGAAGAUGCAUACAAUAGUUUCUGGUAAACAAAUCUCGCUGAAGAACAAGCUUUGACUCCCUGCUCUUUAUCUUUUAUGUAUCUACUAUGAGGGUUUGCUCUGUGGUUAUUGUGAGGCUUGCAUAAAAUAUCUUAUAAGUCUUUUAUGCUGAUAACAACUGAACUUCAAUCACAUGCAAAAGCUCUACUCUUUUACUUGCCUAUUUUAUGUUUUUAAUGUCACGAUUUGCCUUUUUCAUAUUGUAUCUAUUAACAAAUCAUUGUAGCUACAGUUCUUUUUAAUACUUUUGCCCUGAUAACCUAAGUAGUUAACACACUACCAUGUUACAUAUUCUGAAUUUGACCAUAUAUUUAACUUUACCAGUGUGUUGUAUAUUUAUAUGUUUUAUUGCUACUAAUUAUUGUCUUUCAUUUCAGCUUGAAGAACUCCUUUCAACAUUUCUUGUAAGUCAGGUCUAAGGGUGAUAAACUCCCUCAGCCAUGCUUUUUAGGGAAACUCUUCAUCUGUCCUUCUAUUUCUGGUGGAUAACUUUACCAGAUACAGUAAUCUUGGUUGGCAAUUUUUUUCUUUCAGCACAUUAAAUAUAUCCUCCCACUCUAUCUUGCCCUCUAAGGGUUCUGUUGAGAAAUCUGCUGAUAACCUUGUGAGGGUUCCCUAUUAAGUUAUAAGCUUCUUUUCUCUUUCUGCUUUUAAUAUUCUCUCUUUGCUUUUAAAUUCUGACAGUUUUAUUAUAAUGUGUUUGCAGAAGAUCUCUUUACACUGAGUUUGUUGGAAACCUAUGAGCUUCAUGAACUUAGGUGUCCAAAUCUCUCCCCAUAUUUAGGAACUUCUCAGCCAUUAUUUAUUUAAAUAAACAUUUUGCCCCUUCUCCCUCUCGUCUUGUUCUUGGACUCUCAUAAUUUGCAGUUUAUUUCUUUUGAUGGUAUCCCUAUAGUUCACCUAGGCUUUCUGCACUCUUUUUUAUUCUUUUUUCUGUUCUCUUCUGACUGCAAAAUUUCAAAGUAUCUAUCUUCUGAUUCACAGAUUCUCUCUUCUGCUUGAUCCAUUCUGCUAUUGAUCUCUCUGUUGCAUUUUUCCUUUCAUUCAUUGUACAUUUCGGCUCCAGAAUUUCUGGGGGAUUUUAUUAUUAUUAUUUGUAUAUCUUUGUUAAAGUUUUUAUUUUGUUCAUGUAUUGUUUUCCUGAUUACAUUGAAUUGUCUUUUUUUAUUUUCUUGUAGCUCAUUGAGUUUCUUUAAUACAGCUAUUUUAAAUUCAUCAGGUAAAUCACAGAUCUCCAUAUCUUUGGGAUCAGUUACUGGAAAGUCAUUCAGAUUCUUUGGAGAUUUCAUAUUUCUUUGAUCUUUUCAUGUCCCUUGAAGUCUUGCAUCACUGUCUUCAUAUUUGAAACAAUAGUCACCUCCUCCAGACUUUUCUGAUCAAAGGAAAUAUCACCUCAGGAGAAAUAUCUCUUUGGGAAUAAAGUGGUUUCCUUCAUCCUUGCUAAAGAUUCUGAGGCUUUCUCUACGGACAUACCUACUCCACACUUUUUCCCUCCUUUUGUGGCAGAAUUCUUAAGCUUAUACAUUUUCACUUGAUCCUGCAGAGCCAGGCAAUGUACUGGCAACAUCUCUUUUACUUUCCCAAUGAUAUUCUCCCCCAGGCCCACAGAUUUGAGCUAGUUUUCUGCACUUACUCACCAGCUGUCUUAAAAAGUUCACUCUUGUCACCAUAGUGAAUGUGCACAGGGAAUUGGUCAUGAGAUGGUGGGUAGGAGUGGAUGAGGUGCAUGGAGCACUAAGGAUGCCUGUGGGCCAGCUGAGGGAAUGCAUAGUGGCUUGUGGGCAGGCCUCCUGAUGGAGUUCUUGACAUAGUUAAUAGGAUCUGCUUCCCUUUGGUACAUUCUGUUCUGAUCAUUGGCUAGUAUUCUCCCAUCUUCUUACCGCCUCCUAGUCGUGAAGCUCACAGCUCAGAGCUCUGAAUGUGGUGGGAGAGAAUAGGCCUUUUUGGCAGCAUCCCGCACAGCUGUGGAAGCUGGAUGCUCAUUCACAUGCUCUCACUUUUCCAUGUGGGAGAAAUCACAGGCUGAGAAGAACUCUCUUGGCACUAAGCUGUUGCUGACUUUGGGGAGGGGUGAUGAAGCUAAUGUCAAACUGCUGCCCUUACCCUCUUCAAUGUGUCCAAUCUUACCUUUUUUUGCUCCAACAAUAUGCUGGAACUUCUUCUUUGGACUCCUGGAUUUCCACAAAAUCUCUCUCAUCUGUGGGUGAUCUUCUACUUCACUGGUCUCCAGUGCCCUCAAACUGGCGAGGAGAGGUUGGAGCCAGUUCAUGAGCACUUCAGGGUCCAGAGUCAUGACCAAGAUCUGUAUGCUUAUUACCUGGCACAGUGGUGGGCGAUAUUCUUGGGUCCCUUUGCAUAUGGUGCUGAUGACACAACCAAAGCCAAAUGGGGCUUUAGCAGAGUUCUCAGGGUUACAAAGUUGUUUCUGAGCCUACUGUUGGGAACUCAUUGGGUAAGUUAGCUACCUGGAUUCAGGCUUGUCUUCUCAAAAAAGCUGUCUUUGUUUUUGGACAGCCCUGGAGUUUC